AGAGUUUGAUCCUGGCUCAGAUUGAACGCUGGCGGCAUGCCUUACACAUGCAAGUCGAACGGCAGCACGGGAGCAAUCCUGGUGGCGAGUGGCGAACGGGUGAGUAAUAUAUCGGAACGUGCCCAGUCGUGGGGGAUAACGCAGCGAAAGCUGUGCUAAUACCGCAUACGAUCUACGGAUGAAAGCGGGGGAUCGCAAGACCUCGCGCGAUUGGAGCGGCCGAUAUCAGAUUAGGUUGUUGGUGGGGUAAAAGCCCACCAAGCCGACGAUCUGUAGCUGGUCUGAGAGGACGACCAGCCACACUGGAACUGAGACACGGUCCAGACUCCUACGGGAGGCAGCAGUGGGGAAUUUUGGACAAUGGGCGCAAGCCUGAUCCAGCAAUGUCGCGUGCAGGAUGAAGGCCUUCGGGUUGUAAACUGCUUUUGUACGGAACGAAACGGCCUACUCUAAUACAGUGGGCUAAUGACGGUACCGUAAGAAUAAGCACCGGCUAACUACGUGCCAGCAGCCGCGGUAAUACGUAGGGUGCGAGCGUUAAUCGGAAUUACUGGGCGUAAAGCGUGCGCAGGCGGUUAUAUAAGACAGAUGUGAAAUCCCCGGGCUCAACCUGGGACCUGCAUUUGUGACUGUAUAGCUAGAGUGCGGCAGAGGGGGAUGGAAUUCCGCGUGUAGCAGUGAAAUGCGUAGAUAUGCGGAGGAACACCGAUGGCGAAGGCAAUCCCCUGGGCCUGCACUGACGCUCAUGCACGAAAGCGUGGGGAGCAAACAGGAUUAGAUACCCUGGUAGUCCACGCCCUAAACGAUGUCAACUGGUUGUUGGGUCUUCACUGACUCAGUAACGAAGCUAACGCGUGAAGUUGACCGCCUGGGGAGUACGGCCGCAAGGU
RNAcentral lists this ribosomal RNA (890 nucleotides) under uncultured bacterium. Its description in RNAcentral is "bacterial SSU rRNA". It matches the Rfam family "Bacterial small subunit ribosomal RNA", at positions 8 to 894 of the family's 1533-position model. The record is from RNAcentral.